Molecule: regulatory RNA element, 137 nt
Organism: Pseudoramibacter alactolyticus ATCC 23263
Lineage: Bacteria; Bacillati; Bacillota; Clostridia; Eubacteriales; Eubacteriaceae
Rfam family: Ribosomal protein L10 leader
About the family: This family is a putative r-protein leader autoregulatory structure found in B. subtilis and other low-GC Gram-positive bacteria.
Source: Rfam
CAAGCUUUAAUAAGUCAUCCAUAGACAGCAGGGACAACGGCGAGCGCCGGCGUUCAAAUAUCCUGCCGAGGGUGUGGCAAGCUUAAGGAUUAAGAGGCUUUCUUCACCUAUGUGGAGAAAGCCUUAUUUUAUGCAAA